RNAcentral lists this ribosomal RNA (790 nucleotides) under uncultured bacterium. RNAcentral describes it as "bacterial SSU rRNA". It matches the Rfam family "Bacterial small subunit ribosomal RNA", at positions 8 to 792 of the family's 1533-position model. The record is from RNAcentral.
AGAGUUUGAUCAUGGCUCAGAUUGAACGCUGGCGGCAGGCUUAACACAUGCAAGUCGAGCGGGGGAGGUUACUUCGGUAACUGACCUAGCGGCGGACGGGUGAGUAAUGCUUAGGAAUCUGCCUAUUAGUGGGGGACAACAUUCCGAAAGGAAUGCUAAUACCGCAUACGUCCUACGGGGGAAAGCAGGGGAUCUUCGGACCUUGCGCUAAUAGAUGAGCCUAAGUCGGAUUAGCUAGUUGGUGGGGUAAAGGCCUACCAAGGCGACGAUCUGUAGCGGGUCUGAGAGGAUGAUCCGCCACACUGGGACUGAGACACGGCCCAGACUCCUACGGGAGGCAGCAGUGGGGAAUAUUGGACAAUGGGGGGAACCCUGAUCCAGCCAUGCCGCGUGUGUGAAGAAGGCCUUUUGGUUGUAAAGCACUUUAAGCGAGGAGGAGGCUCCUUUAGUUAAUACCUAAAGAGAGUGGACGUUACUCGCAGAAUAAGCACCGGCUAACUCUGUGCCAGCAGCCGCGGUAAUACAGAGGGUGCGAGCGUUAAUCGGAUUUACUGGGCGUAAAGCGUGCGUAGGCGGCUUUUUAAGUCGGAUGUGAAAUCCCUGAGCUUAACUUAGGAAUUGCAUUCGAUACUGGAAAGCUAGAGUAUGGGAGAGGAUGGUAGAAUUCCAGGUGUAGCGGUGAAAUGCGUAGAGAUCUGGAGGAAUACCGAUGGCGAAGGCAGCCAUCUGGCCUAAUACUGACGCUGAGGUACGAAAGCAUGGGGAGCAAACAGGAUUAGAUACCCCGGUA